UACGUAGGGUGCGAGCGUUGUCCGGAUUUAUUGGGCGUAAAGAGCCCGUAGGCGGUUUGUCGCGUCUGCUGUGAAAACCUAAGGCUCAACCUUGGGCUUGCAGUGGGUACGGGCAGACUAGAGUGCGGUAGGGGUGACUGGAAUUCCUGGUGUAGCGGUGGAAUGCGCAGAUAUCAGGAGGAACACCGAUGGCGAAGGCAGGUCACUGGGCCGCAACUGACGCUGAGGAGCGAAAGCAUGGGGAGCGAACAGG
Molecule: ribosomal RNA, 253 nt
Filed under: uncultured bacterium
Lineage: Bacteria
Description: partial 16S ribosomal RNA
Rfam family: Bacterial small subunit ribosomal RNA
Source: RNAcentral